GACGAAGGAUGCAAGCGUUAUCCGGAUUCAUUGGGUUUAAAGGGAGCGUAGGCGGCCUUGUAAGUCAGUGGUGAAAUCUCGCAGCUUAACUGCGAAACUGCCAUUGAUACUGCUUGGCUAGAGUACAGAUGCUGUGGGCGGAAUAUGACAUGUAGUGGUGAAAUACAUAGAGAUGUCAUAGAACACCGAUUGCGAAGGCAGCUCACAAAACUGUAACUGACGCUGAGGCUCGAAAGUGUGGGGAUCAAACAGG
RNAcentral lists this ribosomal RNA (253 nucleotides) under uncultured bacterium. Its description in RNAcentral is "partial 16S ribosomal RNA". It matches the Rfam family "Bacterial small subunit ribosomal RNA", at positions 524 to 776 of the family's 1533-position model. The record is from RNAcentral.